AGGAUGAGAAGCUUCGACCAAGGUUCGACUCGAGCGAAGCGAGAGAACGUUGCCGCAGGCAACGGCCCGAAGGGCGAGGCGCUUUAGCGCCGAGUAAUCCUUCCCCCACCACCA
Molecule: small RNA, 114 nt
Filed under: Klebsiella pneumoniae
Lineage: Bacteria; Pseudomonadati; Pseudomonadota; Gammaproteobacteria; Enterobacterales; Enterobacteriaceae
Description: partial RtT sRNA
Rfam family: RtT RNA
About the family: This family represents a bacterial cis-regulatory element known as RtT RNA. The exact function of RtT is unknown although it is thought that it may be involved in changing the cellular response in relation to amino acid starvation.
Source: RNAcentral